GCUCAGAACGAACGCUGGCGGCAGGCUUAACACAUGCAAGUCGAGCGCCCCGCAAGGGGAGCGGCAGACGGGUGAGUAACGCGUGGGAAUCUACCCUUGACUACGGAAUAACGCAGGGAAACUUGUGCUAAUACCGUAUGUGUCCUUCGGGAGAAAGAUUUAUCGGUCAAGGAUGAGCCCGCGUUGGAUUAGCUAGUUGGUGGGGUAAAGGCCUACCAAGGCGACGAUCCAUAGCUGGUCUGAGAGGAUGAUCAGCCACAUUGGGACUGAGACACGGCCCAAACUCCUACGGGAGGCAGCAGUGGGGAAUAUUGGACKAAUGGGCGCAAGCCUGAUCCAGCCAUGCCGCGUGAGUGAUGAAGGCCCUAGGGUUGUAAAGCUCUUUCACCGGAGAAGAUAAUGAC
Molecule: ribosomal RNA, 404 nt
Filed under: Rhizobium leguminosarum
Lineage: Bacteria; Pseudomonadati; Pseudomonadota; Alphaproteobacteria; Hyphomicrobiales; Rhizobiaceae
Description: bacterial SSU rRNA
Rfam family: Bacterial small subunit ribosomal RNA
Source: RNAcentral